RNAcentral lists this ribosomal RNA (253 nucleotides) under uncultured bacterium. Its description in RNAcentral is "partial 16S ribosomal RNA". It matches the Rfam family "Bacterial small subunit ribosomal RNA", at positions 524 to 776 of the family's 1533-position model. The record is from RNAcentral.
UACGAAGGGGGCUAGCGUUGCUCGGAAUCACUGGGCGUAAAGAGCGUGUAGGCGGCCCGGUAAGUCCGCUGUAAAAGUCAAAGGCUCAACCUUUGAAUGUCAGUGGAUACUGCCGGGCUAGAGUCCGGAAGAGGCGAGUGGAACUCCUGGUGUAGCGGUGGAAUGCGCAGAUAUCAGGAAGAACACCCGUGGCGAAGGCGGCUCUCUGGGACGGUACUGACGCUGAGACGCGAAAGCGUGGGGAGCGAACAGG